GAGUGGACAGUGAGAGAGAGAGACAGAGAGAGAAAGGUCUUCCUUUUGCCGUUGGUUCACCCUCCAAUGGCCGCCGCUGCAGCCGGCGCACCGCGCUGAUCCAAUGGCAGGAGCCAGGAUCCAGGUGCUUUUCCUGGUCUCCCAUGGGGUGCAGGGCCCAAGCACCUGGGCCAUCCUCCACUGCACUCCCUGGCCACAGCAGAGAGCUGGCCUGGAAGAGGGGCAACCGGGACAGAAUCCGGCGCCCCGACCGGGACUAGAAGCCGGUGUGCCGGCGCCGCUAGGCGGAGGAUUAGCCUAGUAAGCCGCGGCGCCGGCCUGUGUUCUUUUUUUAAAAAAAAUUAAUUUACUUAAAGGCAGAAUGACUGAGAGGGAGAGACUGAGGAGAUCGUCUGUCCAUUGGUUCAUGCUCUAAAUGGCUGCAACAACUGGGUUGGGCCAGCUUGAAGUCAGAGCCUGGAGUUUCCUGCAUGGGUAGCACGUGCCAAGCACUUGGGCCGUAUUCUACUGCUUUCCCAUUACUUGCUGUGCCAAGAUACUGGGCUCCUCUUUGUGUUUUCUUGCAGUGAAAAACCUUAAACAGAUUUUUUUCCCCAUUAUUUAUCUUUAAUGCUUAAACUGGGGCUGUGUUUCAUCCAUUUUAUUUUUGUAAGUUUUAUAGUCUUCUGGUUAUAACAUCUUUUUUUUUUUUUUUAGAAUUUAUUUUUUUUAAAUAUUAUUUGAAAGGCAGAUUGGCAGGGAAAGAGGGAGAGACACAGAGAAAGAGAGCUUCCAUCCUUAGUUUCACUUGCCAAAUGGCUGCAGUAGUUGGGGCUGGACCAGGCUGAAGCCAGGAAUCAGAAAUUCUAUCUGGGUUUUGCUUGUGGGUGGCAGGGCCCAAGUACUUGGACCUUCUUCCACUGUUUUCCGAGGCACAUUAAUAGGGAGGUGGAUUGGAAGUGGAGCAGCUGCGACAUAUACCAGCACUCCAGUAUGGGAUGCAGGUGUCACAGGCUGUGGCUUAACUUGUGCCACAGUGCCAGCCCCUGGUUAUAACAUUUUAUGAGUUUAUGAAAAUGUCACUCUGUCACUUUUUUUGUUUCCAUUGCCUUUGUCCAGUUCCUUGUCAUCUCACAUUUGAAAUUUAUAAUUAAGGUAAUAGUUGCUAACAUUUGUUGAAUAAUUUUUCUAGACUAAUUAAAUGUUAAUAUUAGUAGCAAAUGUUUUUAUAUGUACUGUUUCUCUUAGCCACAUAGCAACCUUAUAAAAUAUGCAUUAUUAUUAUUAUUAUUCUAGUUUAUAGAUGGAAACUGAGACUUAGGUUUAGUAAUUUAUUUCUAUUACUAGCUUACAGCUAGCAAGUACCAGAGUAGGUCUGUCUGCCUGACUGUAAUGCCCAGGCUCUUAACCAGUACCUGCUAACUGGUUGUUCUGUUUCUAAUUUCUUCUUCCCUUGUCCAUAUACGAUUGUCCUGAAUUCUUCAAUCAAAAUAAUACUAAUAAAACAUUAUUUUCAUUCUCUUAAUGUCCUUCUCUGAAAUAAUCACCACACUCCAUUUCUUUUUUUUUUUUUAAGUUUAUUUAUUUAUUUGAAAGGCAAAAUGACAAAGAAACAGAGAGGUAUCUUCUAUCUGCUGGUUUACUCCCCAAAUAUCUGCAACAAUCAGAGCUGGGCCAGACCAAAGCCAGGAGCCAGGAACUCCAAACAGGUCUCACAAAUUAUGUCAGAAACCUAAGUACUUAGACUAUCAUACGCCUUCCAUGUACAUUAGCAGGAAGCUGGAUCUGAAGCAGAUGUGGAACUUCAUCCCAGAUACUCCAAUAUAGGAUGCUGUGUUCCAAGCAGUGGCUUAACCUGCUGUACCACAAUGCCUACUCUCUAUUUCUUUGAAGCAGGGGCCAUAUUCUUAAACUUGGCAUAUAUGAUAUUUAGUAUUAUGCACCAAAUUAUAUUCAUAACUUUAAUAUUAAUCAUCUGUUCACAUUUCUACUCUAGCCCAAUACUCUGAAUACUCUGAAUACUCAUUCGUACCUUCAAGCUUUUGGUUAUACUGCUUCCUAUGUAGAAUAUACCCAUCCUGUCCCUAUCUGUAAAUCGGGAUCCUGUGCUUGUCCUUUACUUGAUUUUUAACUUUUAUAUAUUUUACUUGAAAGGCACAGAGAGAGUGACAGACAGAGGGGUCCCAUUUGUGGGUUUACUCUGAAAGUGUCUGCAAAUCUGGGGCUAGGUCAGGCUGAAGCUGGAAGCCAGGAACUCAAUUCAGGUCUGCUACAUGGGUGGUAGGGACCCAAGGACUUGAGCCAUCACCUGUGGCCUCUCAGGGUACUCAUUAGCUGGAAGCUAGAAUUGGGAGUGGAACAGGGAUUAGAAUCCAGGCACUGUGAUAUGUGAUAUGGGUAUCCCAAGCAAUGUCUUAACCACUAUGCCAAAAAAUUCUCCCCCACCCCUACUUUCUUCUUAAAACUUCCUCCCAGGCCGGCGCCGAGGCUCAAUAGGCUAAUCCUCCACCUAGCGGCUCCGGCACACCGGGUUCUAGUCCCGGUCGGGGAACCGGAUUCUUUCCUGGUUGCCCCUCUUCCAGGCCAGCUCUCUGCUGUGGCCAGGGAGUGCAGUGGAGGAUGGCCCAAGUGCUUGGGCCCUGCACCCCAUGGGAGACCAGGAGAAGCACCUGGCUCCUGGCUUCGGAUCAGCGCGGUGCACCAGCCACAGUGCGCCGGACAUGGCGGCCACUGGAGGGUGAACCAACGGCAAAAGGAAGACCUUUCUCUCUGUCUCUCUCUCUCACUAUCCACUCUGCCUGUCAAAACAAAAAAUUAAAAAAAAAAAAAAUUUAAAACUUCCUCCCAGAAAUCUAGGACUGUGUCCCUUUGUAUGUGGGACUAUGGUCUUUUAUUUUGACAUGAAAUUGUAAAUGUAUUUCAUAAAUGAGUGUAAUUCAUUUCUUUAACAAAACAAGUUUUUGGGGUCUGGCUGUUGUUUUUCUUCCAUAUGUUUUUUUCUUUAAAUAUCCAGUGCCCGGGUGUUUUAUUAAAUCUUAGGCCUAUGGAUCCAACCAACUUAAUUUUGUGACUUAAGUUUUAAAAUGUUGAUAUUGUUUAUUAUUAAGAUGUAACCUUUAAACUUGGAAAGAUAAUUCAUUCUAGCAAGGGAAAUAACUAAAAAAGUGCAAUACUCAAUGUUAUUAGCAAGAUUUUGUGGUUUGUAAUAAAAGUAAAUUUUGAUGAAUUGGAAAUCAGUAUAAGUUUUUAAAAGUUGAUAGGUUAGUUUUGCCCAGCAUAGGACAAGUUGGAAACUUCAGUUAUCCAAUGUAUUGUUAUACUUGUUAACUUUAGAAUGUGUAGGACUUGGGGCAAACAUUGUGGUGUAGCUGCUGCCUGUGAUGCUAGCAUACCAUGUGAGCACCGGUUUGAGACUCGGCUGCUCCAUUUCUGAUCCAGCUCCCUCCUAAUGCACCUGGGAAAUCAGCUGAAGAUGGCCCAAGGUCUUGGGCCCCUGUCACCCGUGUAGGAAACCCUGAUGAGUUCCACGCUCCUGGCUUUGGGCUGGCCUAGUCCUGGGUGUUGUGACCAUUUGGGGAGUAAACCAACAGAUAGAUGAUCUCUCUCUCUCUCCCUCUUCCUCUCUCUGCCUCCGACUCUGCCUUUCAAAUAAUUAAAUAAAUCUUAAAUGUGUAGGACUUGACUUGGGAUAACAAGAUAAGGUCUGCUAUUCAUCCUUAUUAAGAUUGCUCUGCCUGUCAAAAAAAAAAAAGAUUAAUUUCUGAAUUGGCUUCCCAUAUUUGGUACAUUUUUUUGUUUCUUGUUCAUAUAAAGUAAGAGUUAUUUAAGUUUUUUUUUUAUCUUUUAUUUAAUGAAUAUAAAUUUCCAAAGUACGUCUCAUGGGUUACAAUGGCUUUCCCCCCCAUACCGUCCCUCCCACCCACCACCCUCCCCUUUCCCACUCCCUCUCCCCUUCCAUUCACAUCAAGAUUCAUUUUCGAUUAUCUUAGUAUACAGAAGAUCAGCUUAGUAUACCUUAAGUAAGGAUUUCAACAGUUUGUUCCCACACAGAAACAUAAAGUGAAAAAUAAUAGAUGAUUUUUUUUUAAAUGAUGAUGAAAUCAGAUCAGACCUAUUGUCAUGUUUAAUCCCAGUGAGAGUCAAGUUGGGAAUUGAUAGUUUCUUUUUUUUUUUUUUUAACAGAAGAUCAGUUUAGUGUACAUUAAGUAAAGAUUUCAAUCGUUUGCACCCCCAUAGAAACACAAAGUGAAAUAUACUGUUUGAGUACUCGUUAUAGCAUUAAGCCUCAGUGUACAGCACAUUAAGGACAGAGAUCCUACAUGAGGAGUAAGUGCACAGUGACUCCUGUUGUUGACUUUACAAAUUGACACUCCUGUUUAUGGCAUCAAUAAUCUCCCUAUGCACCAGUCAUGAGUUUCCAAGGCUAUGGAAGCCCCUUGAGUUCUCCGACUCUUAUCUUGUUUAGACAAGGUCAUAUUCAAAGUGGAGGUUCUCUCCUCCCUUCAGAGAAAGGCACCUCCCUCUUUGAAGACCUGUUCUUUCCACUGGGAUCUCACUCACAGAGAUCUUUUUGCCAGAGUGUCUUGGCUUUCCAUGCCUGAAAUACUCUCAUGGGCUUUUCAGCCAGAUCCGAGUGCCUUUAGGGCUGAUUCUGAGGCCAGAGUUAUUUAAGUUUUAAAAGCAGAAGUGGCACUGGUCUAGGUCCAGCCUGCCAAAUCAUACUAUUUUAUGUGUCCCAUGUCAGUUCAAACAUUGCCCUGUAUCCUGUUCUUUUUAUAAGGAGUGAUUAGAUAUUAAUUACUGUGAAGGCCAGGGGCAGUCUUUUUUUUUUUUAAUUUAUUUAUUCAUAUGAAAGGCAGAGUUACAGAGAAGCAGAGGCAGAGAGAGAGAGAGAGGUGUCUCCUCAAAUGGCCACAAUGGCCGGAGCUGGGCCAAUCUGAAGCCAGGAGCCUGGAGCUUCUCUCUCCAAAUGGCUGAAAUAGCCGGAGCUGAGCCUAUCUGAAGCUGGGAACCAGGAGCUUCUUCUGGGUCUCCCACAAGCGUGUAGCAGUCCAAGCACUUGGACCAUCCUCUGCUGUUUCCCCAGGUACAUUAGCAGGGAACUGGAAUUCAAAUCAGUGCCUAUAUAGGAUGCAGACAUUGUAGGCCAGGGCUUUAACCCACUGUGCCACAGUGCCAGCCCCAGAAAAGUUUAUUUUUAUUUAUUUGAAAGGCAGAGCGCAAGUGAGAUCCCAGUGGAAAGAAUGGGCCAUCAAAGAAGGAGGUGCCUUUCUCUGAAGGGAGGAGAGAACUUCCACUUUGACUAUGACUUUGUCUAACUGAGAUCUGAGUUGGCGAACUCAAAAGGCUUCCAUAGCCUUGGCAACUCAUGACAAGAGCCUAGGGUGAUUACUGACUCCAUAAACAAGAGUGUCAAUUUGUUAAGUCAACAACAGGAGUCACUGUGUACUUAACUCCUCAUGUAGGAUCUCUGUCCUUAAUGCAUUGUACAUUGUGAUUUAAUGCUAUAACUAGUACUCAAAAAAUACUUUAUACUUUGUGUUUCUGUGUGGGUGCAAACUGUUGAAAUCUUUACUUAAUAUAUGCUAAACUGAUCUUCUGUAUAUAAAGAUAAUUGAAAAUGAAUCUUGAUGUGAAUGGAAUGGGAGAGGGAGUGGGAGAUGGGAGGGUUGCAGGUGGGAGGGAAAUUAUGGGAGGGAAAAGCCACUGUAAUCCAUAAGCUGUACUUUGGAAAUUUAUAUUUGUUAAAUAAAAGUUUUAAAAAAAAGAAAGGCAGAGCAACAGAGAGAUAUAUAUAUAAAGAGAUCUUUCAUCUACUGGUUCACUUCCCAAAUGCUCAAAGAUAAAAGAUAUUUCUUGUUGUCUUUUUUUUUUUUUUUUUUUUGAGAGUGGAAGGUUUCUCUGAAAACCUCUACAUUUUUUGGGCCAGAAUUGAAUAAUAUGCUACUUUCUGAUCCAACCACUUUCAUUACCCUUAGUCUAAGUACGUCCCUGAAUCUGGGAUGGUGUUAGCUUCCCCUGAGGCAUAUGGUUGUAUUUGGGAGAGAAUGUCAAGAAGGAAGUGGGAAGGCCACUCUGGAAAGUAAUUAGGAAAAAUACAGCUGUCAUCAAAGUUCUUGUCUGUGUUUGUAAAUAAAAAGUAAUAAGGUUGGGCAUGGUGGCGUCCUUGGGGACAUCUAUAUCCUAUAUUGGAGUGCCUAGUUUGAGUCCAGCUUCCUGCUAAUGUACCUGAGAGGCUGUGGAUGAUGGCUCAAGUAUUUGGGUUCCUGCCACCCUGUGGAAAAUCCAAAUUCAGUUCCUGGCUUCUGGCUUUGUCCUAGCCUAGCCCCAGUUGUUGCAGGCAUUUUGGGAAGUGGAUCAGCAAUUGAGAGAUCUCUGUCUCCCUCUCUCUCUGUUAUUCUGUCUAUUAAACAAAUAUUUUAAAGUAGUAAUAGCAAAUUUAUUUUUUCCUUUUCAUAACAAAUCUAGCUAUGGGAAACUCAUUUUCAUUUUCAGAAUUGAAAUCAGGGUCAUAUACUAUCAAGAGUUAAAUAUAAGGGCAGCGCCGGCACACCGGGUUCCAGUCCCGGUCGGGGCGCCGGAUUCUGUCCCGGUUGCCCCUCUUCCAGGCCAGCCCUCUGCUGUGGCCAGGGAGUGCAGUGGAGGAUGGCCCAGGUGCUUGGGCCCUGCACCCUAUGGGAGACCAGGAAAAGCACCUGGCUCCUGGCUCCUGCCAUCGGAUCAGCGCGGUGCGCCGGCCGCAGCGCGCCGGCCGCGGCGGCCAUUGGAGGGUGAACCAACGGCAAAGGAAGACCUUUCUCACCUGUCUCUCUCUCUCACUGUCCACUCUGCCUGUCAAAAAAAAAAAAAAAAGAGUUAAAUAUAAGACAAGCCUUUUUCUGUCUUUCUUAUCAAUUGUGUACUAGAAGGUGAGGGAGCUGACUUAUCUGGCAGUUUUUUCAUUUGAGGAAUAUAGGCUUUGGAUGACUGACCACUCACAUCAGUUUGUGAGGAAAAAAUGAAUCUUGUUUGUACCCUAAUUGAAGACCAACGAGUAACAGCAGAAAUGAUAUCCAGCAUUAUAGAUUUCAGUUGUUUCAAUUUACAGAAACAAUUUUUACAGAAACAAUUCUUUUUUUAUUUUUUAAGAUUUAUUUAUUUGAAAGAGUUACACAGAGAAGGAGAGGCAGAGAGAGAGAGAGAGAGAGAGAGAGAGGUCUUCCAUCCACUGGUUCUCUCCCCAGAUGGUCGCAAUGGCUGGAGCUGCGCUGAUCCGAAGCCAGGAGCUAAGAGUUUCUUUGGUCUCCCACGUGGGAGCAGGGGCCCAAGGACUUGGGCCAUCUUCUGCUGCUUUCUCAGGCCAUAGCAGGGAGCUGGAUUGGAAGCAGAGCAGCUGGGAGACAAACUUUCACCCAUAUGGGAUGCCAGCACUGCAGGUGGCGGCUUUACCCCCUACGCCAUAUCGCUGGCCUCAGAAAUAAUUCUGACUGAAAAAUAAUAUGGAGUAAUUUUUUUGCUUGGUGUUUACCAAAACUUGCUCCCAGAUCAGCUGCAGAAAAAGCAGAACUUUGAAUGGAGAUUAAAAACAGGUAGGAUCAAGAUCCGGAAGGAUUUCUUUAAAGAAUUCUAACAGGCAAUGAAAUGACUUAUCAGUAUGAACCUGAAGACAAAGCACAACCAAAAUAAUGGCAAUGAAGAGGUGAAAGUGGUCCAAUCAAAGUGCAACUAGACAAAUCAAAACAGGCCUUUUCUUCUCAACAGUUUAUGCACAGGAAUAAUUUUAUGCAGAUUGGAAAGCAAAUAAUUAUACAUUACAUAUUUUUGUAUUCAGGGAAAGCAUAUGGUUCUUGUCUUUUUGGGACUGGCUUAUUUCACUAAUUUUGGCUCAAAGUCUAAAUGAACUUAAUAUCUUGUAACCACACAGGAAGUAUUUAGAUGUUACGUUGUUAUUGGUUCUGUUUCACUGAAAGAAAUUAUACAUGACUAAUUGACAAAAAAUUGUAUAUGAGUGAAAUGAUCAUUUAUACAUUCAAUAAUUUAUAGCUGUUAUUGAUAUUCAUAUUAAAUUAGGGUCUUUUUGCUUUUUACUUGUUGAACUUCUUAUUCAGUGAAGUAUUAAACCUUUUUAUUGUAAUGUAAAUUUAAAAUAUCUUUUUUUUAAAAUGAACUCCCUGAACUUUUUUAAUAUUUUAUUUAUUUAUUUGAAAUUCAGAGUUACAUAGAGAGAGGAGAGGCAGAGAGAGAGAGAGAUAGAGGUAUUCCCCAAUUGGCCUCAAUGGCCGGAGCUGUGCCGAUCCAAAGCCAGGAGCCAGGAGCUUCUUCCAGGUCUCCCACAUGGUGGCAGGGGCCCAAGGACUUGCACCAUCUUCUACUGCCUUCCCAGGUCAUAGCAGAGAGCUGGAUUGGAAUGGAGCAGCCAGGACUAGAAUCGGUGCCCAUAUGGGGUGCUGGUGCUUCAGGCCAGGGUGUUAACCUGCUGCGUCAAGUCCGACCCCUAAAAUAUCUUAAAAACUAAAAAAAAAAAAGAAAGGUGGAAGGAAGAGUGUGAGGGAGGAGGUGAAUAUCAUUAUGUUCUUAGACUUGUAUCUACAAAUUGUAUUGAAUCUGUUAAAAAAUUAAUUAAAACAAUAUUUUUAAGAUAAAACAAUAGCUAUGGGAAUAGUUUUUUGAAAUGCUGAAGUAAUUUUGUAUGUUCACUUUCUGAAGGGUCAAAGGGCAAUAAUAUCUGCUUAUUAGGAGAGUAUGUUUUGACAACCCAAAGUUUUAGCAGAAAAAUGGGAAAGCUUCAUCAGAGAGUUUUUCUCCACAAUAGUGCUCCUGCUAAUUCCUCUCAUCUAGCAAGAAAAUUUUAUGCAGGCUUAAAAAAAGUGUUUUUUUUGUUUUGUUUUGUUUUGUUUUUAGCAGGGAGAGAGACAGAGAUAGAAAAAUCUUUUGUCUACUGGUUUAUUCCCUAAUGCCCAUGACAGCUGGGGCUGGAGCUGGAGCUAGGAACUAAAUCUGGGUCUCCCAUGUGGUUUUUAGGGACCAUCACCAUCUUCCUUCUAGAGUGCACAAUUCUAGCAAGAAUUGAGAGCAGAGCUGAGACUUGAACCUAGGCAUUCUGAUACGGGAUAUGUGUGUCUCAAGCAGUGUCCUAACAGUUGUAACAAAUGCCCACCCUGAGAGUUUUGAUGGCAGAACAUUUGGCAUCUACUUUACAGUCCUGAUUUGGUUCCUUUUUUUUUUUUUUUUUUUUAAAGAUUUAUGUAUUUGAAAAGCAAAGGAACAGAGAAAGAAUAAGAGAGUGAGAGAGAGAGAGACAGAGUGCUUCCAUCCAACAAUGGUUUACUCCCCAAAUUCAUGCAAAAGCCAGGGCUGGGCCAGACUGAAACCAGGAGCCAGGAACUCCAUCUGAGUCUCCCAAGUACUUGAACCAUUAUCUGUCUCCUUCCCAGGUGCAUUAGCAGGAAGCUGGAUUGGGAGCAGAGUAGCCCAAACUGAAGCAGGCACUCUAAUCUGAGAUAUGGGCAUCCUAAGUGGUGAUUUAACCUGCAGUGCCAUAGUGCCUUCUUUAGUAUAUGACUUUAAAGUAAGACAUACAUUAUAUCUUUGAAUUAACAUAUGUAAGUAUUGAUUUAUCUAAUAUGUUGGAAAUCUAGAGGCAGUAUAAUGGAGUAAUUAAGAAAGGGGCUUUGGAAUCAGAGCAUCUGAGUUCAGAUUGUGCCUUUGCCACUUUAGAAUAUGUUACUUGGGAAGUUUAGUUAUCUUUUCUGUGUUGUGGUUUCCCCAGCUAAAAAUGGGGUGAUAAAGGAUUCAGUAAAUCAAUAAUUGUAGUAUACUUAGUGUAGUACCUGGAAUAUAUUAAAUAUCCAUACAUUGUUUGUGUAUUCAUGUUUUUCAAGGGAUAUUUGAUUGUCAAACUCUGUGAGCAAAGCAUAGCAGGGAACAAAGCAACAAAAAUUUCUGCCUUCAUGGUGUGUAUAUUUCUUUUUUUUUUUAAGAUUUAUUUUAUUUAUUUGAAACACAGAGUUACAGAGAGAGUUAGAGACACAGAGAGAAGUCUUCCAUCCACUGGUUCACUCCCCAGAUUGCCUCAAUGGCCAGAGCUAUGCUGAUCUGAAGCCAGGAGCUUCUUCCAGGUCUUCCAUGCGGGUGCAGGGGCCCAAGGACUUGGGCCAUCUUCUAUUUUUAUUAUUUAUUUAUUUAUUUUGACAGGCAGAGUGGACAGUGAGAGAGAGAGACAGAGAGAAAGGUCUUCCUUUUCCAUUGGUUCACUCCCCAAUGGCCGCUGCACUACGGCCAGUGCACCAUGCUGAUCCGAAGCCAGGAGCCAGGUGCUUCUCCUGGUCUCCCAUGCAGGUGCAGGGCCCAAGCACUUGGGCCAUCCUCCAGUGCCUUCCCGGGCCACAGCAGAGAGCUGGCCUGGAAGAGGGGCAACCGGGACAGAAUCCGGCGCCCCGACCGGGACUAGAACCCGGUGUGCCGGAGCCGCUAGUGGAGGAUUAGCCUAUUGAUCCGCGGUGCCAGCCCAGGCCAGGGCUUUAACCCGUUGCACCACAGUGUCAGCCCUGGUGUGUACAUUUCUAAAUAAAAGGGGAGAGAGAGAAUAAACAAAUUCUUAAAUGAAGUACAUAGUGAUGGUGAUAAAUGUUAUGGAGAAACAGCUGAGAACAAAAAUAGACAGUUCUGGGUGAGGGGAACUGCUGUGAGGGAAGCACGCCAUUCAGAUAGAUGACAGGUGGAGGAUGGGGGAGUGGGCCAGGUGGAGAAUGUCAGGUGAUUGACCAGGUGAAGGAGCAUCUUUGUGAGAUGUUCAGUGAUGACCUGUGAGGCCAGUGUGACUGGAAUGGAAACAGGGGAAGGUAGUAAGAAAUGAAGAGAAGUAAUGGUGUGAGUGAUGAGGGUUUCUAAACAUGUAGAGCAUUUUAAGACAUUCAAAGAACUUUGGGUUUUAAAAUUUGAGAUAGGAAGCCAUCAGAAUGUAUUGGACACUGAUACAUAGAUGAUUCCUGACUUAAAAGAAUCAUCUGGCUGCUGGCAAAAAGUAGGGAAUGAUGGAAGUGUAGUAACUGGUUAGGUGGCUCUUGUACCAAUCAAGCUGGAGGGAUGAUAAUGGCUUGGGCAAGGGUAGAAGUUAUGGAAGUGACAAAAAGUGGUUCCAUACUGAAUAUGCUGAAUAUUAGUAUUACCAGUUAUGUAGCAUGUUAUUUCCAAACUGUCUUCGUCUAUUUUCUGAUUUCUUAGCUUUAUAUUUCUCCAUAUGCUUGUUAAAAAUUAACUUUUAAAAUAAUACUAAAAUUGUUUGCGUGUCUGUGUAUGCAUCGUCUCUCUCUCUCCUCUCUCUCUCUUUCUCUCUCUCUCUCUCUAUAUAUAUAUACAAAAUCUAAAUUUUUACUUAUUUUUUAUUUAUGGUGGGGAGAAAAAAGGGAGGGAAGGAGGAAAACAGAGACAAAUCUCCAUCUACUUGUUCAUGCUCCCAAAUUCUCAGAAAAGCUAGAGCUGGGCCAGGAACUCAAUCCAGGAUUCCUACAUGGAUGACAGGUACCCCAAGCACUCAAGUCAUCACCUGCUACCUCCCAGGGUGUACAUUAUCAGGAAUCUGGAAUCUGGAGUAGAUCUGGGACUCGAACCCUGGAACUUGGAUUUGGGACAGUGGAGUCCUAAAUGGCAUCUUAACUGUUAUGCCAAAUACACACACCUGUUUAGAUAUUUUUGAUGCAUUUUUAAUCUUUUUUUGAGGUGUUAUAAUUCUGAUCUGUGAUGCUUGGUUGCCAAGUAUAUGUGGCUUUAGUUAUUUGAUGAAGUCGUACUCAUGAGUUACUUAUAUAAAUUUUGCUGUCUAAAUGUAGACUGUUCUAUAAUUUACUUGCAAAAGUAACUUUGGAAAGGAAAUUUUCCUGAAAUUUUUAGUUUCUUUUGUGGGCCAUGAAAGGGAAAACAAUGAAAUUGAGAAAGAAGCCAUGUUUAAUUUCAUUGGCUGGGGCUGGUGCUGUGGCUCACUUGGUUAAUCCUCUGCCUGCAGCACUGGCAUCCCACAUGGGCGCUGGGUUCUAGUCCCGAUUGCUCCUCUUCCAGUCCAGCUCUCUGCUGUGGCGCGGGAGGGCAGUGGAGGAUGGUCCAAGUGAUUGGGCCCCUGCACCCGCAUGGGAGACCAGGAAGAAGCACCUGGCUCCUGGCUUUGGAUCAGCGCAGUGCCGGCCGUGGCGGCCAUUUGGGGAGUGAACCAAUGGAAGGAAGACCUUUCUCUCUGUCUUUCUCUCACUGUCUAUAACUCUACCUGUCAAAAAAAAAAAAAAAAAGUAAUUUAAA
This is a non-coding RNA of Oryctolagus cuniculus (rabbit), 12246 nucleotides long. Lineage: Eukaryota; Metazoa; Chordata; Mammalia; Lagomorpha; Leporidae. The record is from RefSeq and is a predicted model, not a curated record.